UGGACAGGGAGACAGGUGGUGGCGAUGGUUGUCGUCAGCUCGUGUCGUGAGAUGUUGGUUAAGUCCCGCAACGAGCGCAACCCUACGUUUAGUUGCUAACGCGUGAAGGCGAGCACUCUAGACGAACUGCCGUUGACAAAACGGAGGAAGGUGGGGAUGACGUCAAAUCAUCAUGCCCCUUAUGUUCUGGGCUACACACGUGCUACAAUGGCCGGUACAGACGGACGCAAAGCCGCGAGGUGGAGCAAAUCCUAAAAAGCCGGUCUCAGUUCGGAUUGCAGGCUGCAAUUCGCCUGCAUGAAGUCGGAAUCGCUAGUAAUCGCAGGUCAGCAUACUGCGGUGAAUACGUUCCCGGGCCUU
RNAcentral lists this ribosomal RNA (360 nucleotides) under uncultured Pelotomaculum sp. RNAcentral's name for it is "bacterial SSU rRNA". It matches the Rfam family "Bacterial small subunit ribosomal RNA", at positions 1023 to 1382 of the family's 1533-position model. The record is from RNAcentral. Lineage: Bacteria; Bacillati; Bacillota; Clostridia; Eubacteriales; Desulfotomaculaceae.